AUUGAACGCUGGCGGCAGGCCUAACACAUGCAAGUCGAGCGGAUGAAGGGAGCUUGCUCCUGGAUUCAGCGGCGGACGGGUGAGUAAUGCCUAGGAAUCUGCCUGGUAGUGGGGGAUAACGUCCGGAAACGGGCGCUAAUACCGCAUACGUCCUGAGGGAGAAAGUGGGGGAUCUUCGGACCUCACGCUAUCAGAUGAGCCUAGGUCGGAUUAGCUAGUUGGUGGGGUAAAGGCCUACCAAGGCGACGAUCCGUAACUGGUCUGAGAGGAUGAUCAGUCACAAUGGAACUGAGACACGGUCCAGACUCCUGCGGGAGGCAGCAGUGGGGAAUAUUGGACAAUGGGCGAAAGCCUGGUCCAGCCAUGCCGCGUGUGUGAAGAAGGUCUUCGGAUUGUAAAGCACUUUAGGUUGGGAGGAAGGGCAGUAAGUUAAGACCUUGCUGUUUUGACGGUACCAACAGAAUAAGCACCGGCUAACUUCGUG
This 484-nucleotide ribosomal RNA is filed under the name uncultured bacterium. RNAcentral describes it as "partial 16S ribosomal RNA". It matches the Rfam family "Bacterial small subunit ribosomal RNA", at positions 30 to 507 of the family's 1533-position model. The record is from RNAcentral.